RNAcentral lists this long non-coding RNA (984 nucleotides) under Ananas comosus (pineapple). Its description in RNAcentral is "long non-coding RNA (ACOM_LNC028027)". The record is from RNAcentral. Lineage: Eukaryota; Viridiplantae; Streptophyta; Magnoliopsida; Poales; Bromeliaceae.
GAGUAUUUGAAGUAUCUAGAAAAUAAAUUUUGCGAUUUUUCGAUAUCAUUUGCCUAGUGAUCGAAGGGGCUCAAAAUCAACGGCUGAAAAUAAAAAUCUUACAAAAUAUGAUGAUAUGACAUUCAAAUUUUAGAUCAAAGUUUUUUAUCUUGUUUUAUAUGGUAUAACAAAUUUUCUAUCAAUAUUUCACGUGAUUUGAAUAUUUCUACACCGUUGAACUUGCAACCGGCUCACCACGGCCGUUAAAAUUAUUGAUUUUGAGCCCCUUCGAUUACUAGGCAAAUGAUAUCGAAAAAUCGCAAAAUUUAUUUUCUAGGUACUUCAAAUACUCUAGAUCAAGUCUAACGGAGUCGAUCGUCGAUUCGAAAGUCCCAACAUCGAAAACAAUUUGGAAGCACGGAGGCCUCCGUGCUUUCAUAAGCAUACUAGCUGCACACUAUAUAUAUAUAUAUAUAGUGUAGAGCUAUUAUGCUAUCGGAAGCAUAGAGGAUCUGAUGCUUCAAACUUUUUGACCAUUGGAUUAAAAAUUAUACGGUUGUGAUGAUUACGGUCUCUCCAGGGUUGAAUAGUACCUCUAGGGUUGAGUGGUCUCCACAAGAUAAUAGUAUUAAUCCAAAGGUUAGAAAUAAUUAAAGAUGUUGAUCUAAGAGCCAAAAAAUUGGAAGCACCAGAUACUCUAUGCUUCCGAUAGCAUUGUAACUCUACCAUAUAUAUAUAUAUAGAAUUGAGCUAGAAUACUUUUAGAAGUAUCAUUCCCUUGGUGCUUCUAAAUUUCUAGCCCUUGGAUCUACUCCUUAAUUACUAAUAUCCAUUGGAUCAAAUACUAUUCCACCUGCCAUCACCUACCACCAUCAUCUCAACCCUACAUCUCUUCAUCCAAUGGUUAAAAACUCAAAAGCAUCCCCCUUGGUGCUUUUGAGAGUAUUCUAGCUCAACUCUCUCUCUAUAUAUAUAUCUUAAUCUUAAAUUAUAAAAAAUUUAAUU